Molecule: long non-coding RNA, 5857 nt
Filed under: Mytilus galloprovincialis (Mediterranean mussel)
Lineage: Eukaryota; Metazoa; Mollusca; Bivalvia; Mytilida; Mytilidae
Source: RNAcentral
CUUUCCUGGUCGCCCAGUUAGCACAAACAAUGACAUAGUCGUAAUCAUCAGGUAAAAUUAUAGAAUCCAUUAUAACUUGUGUAUUUUUUGUACUUUCGUAAUUCAUUUAAAUCGAUUUAUAAGAUUUGUAAGUCGAGCACUUUUACCACAGGAAUCGAAAGUGACAAAGAGUAAAGUACCACACACCUCACUGGUUACCUCUCACAGGCACAUAAAUCUGACCAGAGUUUUACUAGUGAUGUGUAUCCUUGAUCUUUAUUAUUUUUCUUAUAAACCAGUGGGUAAAACUUCCUUUUUGCCCCUCCCCCUAUUCAUAUUUGUCUGUACUUAUUCCGUCUACAGAGGGGGAUCAAACGGAUUUCCCUAAUUCUUCCAGGCAAACAUUUGGAUGAAAUGUAUGCCACUGGAAGCAAACUAGAUCACCUCAUCGGCUUGUAUUUUUAAUCUUAUUAUUUAAUUUUUUUUCUAAUCAGUAGACUUUUUUGUCGCCAGAUUAUAACAAAUAAACGAUCACAUUUUAACAAAACGACUGCAUUGAAAUGUUCAAAAUAAUUCAAAAGGAUCUAUGAACAUAUAAAUUGGUGUUCUGGCUUUGUAGAUUAAUUCAUUCAGAAUAGCCUUGCAUAUAUAUAUAUGUAACAAUAACAUCUUCAUGCCUUAUAUAUAUCUGUAGUACGCCGCUAGAUUAAAACUGACGAGGAAAGGAACACACGGCCAGCGAAAGCUCUUUUUUUGAGAGCCCAGGGUCGUGGUUAGCGGGACGGCUGCAGUGCAGGCGAUUUGGUGUCACGAUAUACAGUAGCAUGGGUUUCGAAUCCGGCGAGGGAAGAACCAAAAAUUUGCGAAAGCAAAUUUACUGAUCUAACAUUGUUGGGGUUGAUGUUUAGACGAGUUGUUAUACAUUUGCACACAGCAUGUAUCACCAUCAUUGAUGGCGAUUCGAUGGAUAAUCUGUUGUAGAGUGUCACUGACUGAGACGUACUUAUAUAUAUAUAUAUAUAUACAACUCGUCUAAAUAUAUAUAUAUAUAUAUAUCAACAAAUUGUCCUUAUCGUACUAAUUCUUCCAAGCUUAACAUACUAGAUUGACAUAAUCUUUUGUGAGAUACCGUUCUUUUAACAUGCGAACAGCCUUUUGUAUUUGAAAUUUUAACUUGUUUUAUUUUUUAUCUAUUUAUGUAUAUGCACAGUAUGAAAGGCCAAUAAACCUCAAAACAACUACUACAACUACUCUGCUCAUUGUUUUAAGUAAUAUUAAUUUUUUUGCUAUUAAGAUAUUAUCUUUUAUGCCCAACCUACGAUAGUAGAGGGGCAUUAUGUUUUCUGGUCUGUGGGUCCGUUCGUUCGUCUGUCUAAUUUCAAGUUAAAGUUUAUGGUGAAGGUAGUCUUUGAAGAAGUUGUAGUCCAAUGAACUUUAAACUUAGUACACAUGUUCCCUAUGAUAUGAUAUUUCUAAUUUUAAUGCCAAAUGAGAGUUUUUACCCCGAUUUCACGGUCUAUUCAUCAUAGAAAAUUAUAGCGCAAGUGGGGCAUCCGUGUACUUUGAACACAUUCUUGUUCUACAUGUAUUCUAUAUAUUCUAUAUAUCAAAUUCUAAAUAUCGUCAUGCUAUACAAGCGGCAGUUAGCAACGUUUAUAUGCAUUCAAUCUUGCUAAAUUCCCGACAUUAUCUUUCACUUUUAAGGUCUAUUCAAUAAACAUUACUGACAUUAUAUAAUAAGUUGUCUUUCUAAAACAAAAUAAAUCACUUUUUAACGACUAUUAAUUUUAACGAAGUCUAUUCAAAUACACAAAAUUGUCCGGUAGUAGUUCACUUGUAUAGUAGUCUAGUUUUAAUAUUUUCUCGAGCUCGCGGAGAUGCAUCUCAUUUUGGUGUCAAAUUCUUGUCCAUGCCUCAGUUGAUAAGUCUUUAUAAAUCUCUCCUCAUCACCAUGUUGUUGUAAACUUUUACUAAACUUAGUGUUUAUAGAUUCAGAACUUUUCAAAGUUGCUUUCCAUUGCGAGGUGAAAGAUCAAAAUCAUUUCAAGUUACAAGUCCAGAUAGCAAGUAUCCAAUUGUUGAAACAACGGCUGUAGGUCCGUUGCCUCUGAUCACGUGAUCUAGGACUUUAUCUCAAUAAUGGUCUGCAACAAUCAAGAGUGACAUCUAAACGCUAUCCUCAUUGCUAUGUUUCUCAUAGAACACUGAUGCUAUAACUGUUUUAAGCAAUACCUUUUUGUUUUAUUGUGAGGUAUAAAUAACGGCAGUUUCUGGUUCUUCUGUUUUUACCAAGUUAACAACGGUUGGUUUCUCCGUGUUUUCCUGUCUUUUUUCAACUGUGACGUGUCCUCCACUUAAACUGGUGUGAUGUUUUUGAUUCUUUUCUUACAUCCCUUUCAAUGCAAACUGUGCACGUUUAAAUGACACAAAAUAUCUAUUCAUAUACUGCACUGGUAUACAUUUAAUUUUCACGAUGAAUUCACGAAAAUCUCUAUUGUUAGUGCAAGCAUGGAUAUCGUAAAAUAAAAUGCAUUUUAACUGGCUAGGAAAUCACGAUGUUUCCGAUCCUAAAUCAGAUGAAUUUUCACUUCUUUUGUAAUGUCUUUUUCUCGGGUUAUAAAGGUUUAUAUGAUCGCUAUCAUAUUCGCGGGCAAUUUGUUACCUUACUUCGUUAUUAUAAUAGGUAUUGAUACCGCCUUACAUGUCUUGUGUUUGACCCAAACAUUCUAUAUUUUUAUGUUUUACUCUAGGUAGUCUCCAUAACUGUUUAAACUGUUCAAAUCGAUUAGCGGCGAAGGAAGAUCCAUUAAAGCUUUGAUGGUGUGUUUAUAUUUUUCUUGGGUGUCAAAAUCUCUUACAGUUGUAACGGCAUUUGCUAGUGUAAGCGCAGAUUCUGAAAUGGUUUGUGCGGCGGUUCCUUAAAGCUAGGCUUUGGCACAACAGAAUCGUAUUGGUAUAUAAGGUAACUGCUGAAUUGUAUAGUAGAUUCGUCUCAAAAUGCUCCAUUGCUAAAGAUCAAGGUCAAUAUGUGGCAAAUAUAUUAUUUUAUGUGUUUAUUACUAAAUAUAUAAGGUUGUUUGGCUAGGUGUGUUUUAUACGAAAAAACACGAAGACUAUUGUAUGUGUGUGUUACUCUGGUCAGGAAAGUUGCAUGCAUGAUUUCAAGUAUGAUUUUCUUUCGAUGGAAUACCAUCUCUAGUGUUUAGUGAGUGAACGGCUGAUGUUAUUGUAUAACAAGUAUGUAUAUAGCAUUCAUCGUUAGCGUUUAUUUUUGACUGAACUUGUUUCCGUUGUUCCUUUGUUUUCUUCUUAUAAUUAUUAUAAUUUCCUUUGGUUUGAGCGGAUUAUGUAAAAUGUGAAGAGUCAAAAAUUAGUUUUAUGGUUCAAUAAAAUCAAAAUAAAUUAUUGCCAUUCAUUAUAAAUAAAUUUCUAUCAAAAAUAAGGCUCAAAGAACUAUAUUAUUUAUAUUAACAAUAACAACGUACACACAUGUUGGCGUAUAAAUACACAACGUCAGAGUGCGUUGUCGCCAUUAAAAUGAAACAUUGAAAAUAAAACUAAUAAUUUUAACCAAUCAGAAUACAGUAAAAACAUCAAAUUUUUUUAUUAAAAAAAUAACAUAUAAUUCUUAGAAAUACAACUGAUGACAACAGUUUUUGAAACUAGCUACCACUACAAUUUUUGAUGCGUUUUGUUAUUUGAUUUUGCCAUGUGAUUAUGGACUUUCCGAAUUGAUUUUCCUCUGAGUUCAGUAUUUUUGUGAUUUUACUUUUUAAUGCUAUACCGGUAUUAAAUGAGAACUAUGCAUAGAUGAUUAACGUUAGAAAUUCAAAGCGAUGAUUUCCUAUGAUACAAUGAAAUGACAACUUUGUGCUCUGAUAAUAAUGUUUUAUUUUUAGGGUGAGCUUUCUCUGUUGUAUUAUGGCGACUUCAUCUUUAAAUUGUAAUGUUUGUGAACUCCGCCAUACUUCCAAGCUUUCCGUUAUCUGGUGUACUGAAUGUGAUGAAGGACUUUGCGAAGGCUGCAAGGAACACCACAGUUUAUCUAAAGGAUCUCGAAAUCAUACGGUCAUACCAAUUUCCGAAUAUCAUAAAUUACCCAGUGAUGUUAUCAAGAUAUCUCAGUUCUGUGACGAACACAAUGAAAAAUACACCAUUUACUGCAAGAAGCACGAAUGCCCUUGUUGUAGCAACUGUAUUGUACAAAGUCACAACAGAUGCGAUGAAAUCGUGAAACUAGAUGACGUCAUUCAUAACGCCAAGACAUCAAAUGCGUUUUACGAAAUUGAGCAGACUUUGUCAGAAGUAUCCGAAAAUAUUGAAAUAAUCAGAAAAAAACGACAAAACAACCUAGACACAUUAUUGGAGACCAGGAAGCAGGUUGAGAAGGAAAUCCAAAAGACCCGAAUAGCGAUCAAUGAUCAUAUCGACAAAUUACAAGCAGAUGUAAUAAAGGAGCUAUAUGCAUUGGAAGACAAGGAGAGUAAGAAAAUCCGUCAACUGCUUAAUUCAUUAGAGGAAAAACAGCAAGAGAUUGCGAUAUUACAGGGGAACAUGUCAGAUAUGAAACAGCAUGCGUCUGAUCUUCAAACAUUUUUGUCAAUGAAACGAAUCGAAAAGGAGGUCACUGGCAAAGAUGAAUACAUCAGGUCAAUAUCAUGUAAGGAAAAUUUGAAAAACAUCGUUCUGUCAUUUAAUAUCAACACUGCUGUUCAAAAUCUUAUUUCUGGGAUCUCAAAUUUCGGAAAGAUCAUGGUUGAAAGUAUACUGUCUGGCAUUGAGAUUACCACGAGAAAGCAAAAGCAAGCUCAAAUAAUGGUAACAAAAGUACCAUCAAGAUCGUUUGAAAAUAUUAAUCUAAAACUGCAGAAGACAAUGAGCAUGAGUAAAGACGCAGAAAUUUUUGGUACAUAUCUGCUAUCUGAUGGAAGGAUGGUUUUUUGCAAGAGUUUCUUAUUGACCAAUAGUAUAAUGGUUCUGAACGCAAAUGGAUCACUGGAUUUUGAAGUAGAAUUACCAUCAUCAUCCUUUGAUGUAGCAUACAUCACAGAAGACAAUACAUUGGCUGUAUCAGCUGGUGGUUAUAUGUCCACGUAUAUAUAUAUCAUUGACAUGCAAAACAAAAAAAUCAAGAAACCUAUUUCUGUAAUUGGAUGGAUCUAUGGAAUAACAUAUCAUGAAUCGAGAUUAAUUUAUUCUGAGAAGAAUAAAGGAAUUCGAAUGAUCAAUCCAAAUGACAAGACCAUAAGCGAUGUAGUCAGAGAGGAAAUGCCAGCUCACUGCUACGUUGCAGCAUUUGGUGACAAACUAUUCGCUACAAAUCCGAACACGAACACCGUUAAAUGUUAUGAUCUCCAAGGUAAAAUUCAAUGGACAUUUCAAGACAGAAACGUUUUGAAGACACCCGCUGGCAUCUCCGUAGAUAUUAAUGGUAAUAUAUACGUAGUAGGACGUAGAUCAAACAAUCUUAUAAUGAUAUCUCCUGAUGGAAAACAACACCGACAACUUUUAUCUGCAAACGAAGGGCUCUCUGAACCCAGGUCCGUUCAUUUAAGUAAGGAAAGAAACAUGCUGAUUGUUGCGAAUAUAAGAGGAAAAGCAUUCCUAUACUCUGUAAACUGACACAUCUUCAGUUAGCUUCUUCGGACAUAGAUUAUGUAAACAUAUAUCAAUAAAUCUGUUAACCUAUCGUAUCGGGUAAAUUUCGCAUAUUUCCGAGGAUAAAACAAAAUCGCUAAAAUAUUUCCUCCAAUUUAAAAGUGCACAUGCAAAGGUAUUAAUAAAAAUUUUGAAACUGCCAAAAUAAUUUGUAUUAAAAAUCGCGAGAUUUUACACCCGCGACAAUAACCCACUAUACGGUAUUUCUGGUUGACAAAAA